UAACGCCUCCUUUGCGUGCCAUGGUCCUGAUGGAUGGAACAGCCCUCUACAUUUUGAUGGGGGCAAGAAAUAAAUCUGCCUGAGGGAAGAGGCAACACAAAUGAGAGCUUGUAAUGUAACACCACUGGCAAAAUUCUAACACUAUUUCCCAGUAUGCCUGGAGAUGAAUUACAGAGUCUCUGCAAGAACCAGUCUUGUCCAUAACACAUCCACAUCUUACUGAAAUCUGGGAGGAAGGAGUGUGGUGGUCCUUCUAGGUGCCAGCUUGUGGAAAGUUAAUGUUAGACUUUCUGAACAGCUAUCAAAUCUGUUGGACACACACACACUCCACAUCAAAAGUUGUCAAAAGGGGCAAACUGUGCACAAUUGUGCAAGACUUCAUUUGGAAGCCAAAUAAAAACCACUUAAAUCCGGACAGAAGAUCUCUGCGUUUUCUGACCCAACAGAUUUAAUAUCACAGAAGAAGAGGUGAUUCUGGCUG
Serinus canaria (Common canary) is the source of this 481-nucleotide long non-coding RNA. RefSeq lists it as uncharacterized. NCBI's taxonomy places the organism in Eukaryota, Metazoa, Chordata, Aves, Passeriformes, Fringillidae. The transcript is spliced from 3 exons. The record is from RefSeq and is a predicted model, not a curated record.